AAAAUUAGUAACCAAUUAAAUGUUCAUUAGAAGUAGAAAUAACAAAUUUGAAGUAUUAUUUUUGCAAAGUAAAAAAGCAAAAUUUAUUAUAAAAUAAAUGUAAAAAUAAUAAAAUUUAAAUAUCGUUUACGAAAACUACAGUAAGGUGGUUUAUACCCUUUUUUCCCCGUAUCACGUAAAACAACAAAUUAUGCAUUUAUUUAUAUUAAUCUCAAGCCCAAGAAAAAAAGACCCUUUGCUUUUAAGUAAUUGAUAGGAAUUCAGUUUGUAGUGGUAAAAUUGAAAAUAAAAAUUUAGGAUGCAAUUAAAGGAUAAAAUUAUAAGACAACAUAAAAAUGAGGUAAGCAAUGCCAAAUGGCUUUGUUUGUGUACCUGUAAUUGUUAGUUUGCAUGACCACUUAGAUGUUCCCUCAACUGUUGCGUGCUCAGCCUGCUCUAAUGAAUCUAUGUGUGUAUCGGGAUCCACACCGAAUGUCAUCCUUAAAUUAAAUUAGUUACAUAUAUUUUUGAUUUGGGUUUUUAGACAUUCCAAGAAAAUUUUUUAAAUAUCAACAUACUAAUUUUUAUUGGCCAGGCGGUGCGCACACUUAUUUACCCUGUACCCAGAUUAAAAAAUUAAAUUAUUAUAUCAUAACAACAAAGAGGACUGCCCAACUUAUUUCUUAUUGACUCCAUUUAUGUGUUUACCUUAGCAAAAGCUAAAAACUGAAUCUUACAUGUUAGGGCGGCGAGCCCAUACAUGAAAUUAGGCCGCGAGGCUAAUAUAAUACUGGCCCCAUUUAGAACCAAAUUACACGCUUUUGUUCUUUGCCACAUAAGAUUAUUGACUGCUGAAUAAUAAUAAAAAAAUUGUAAACUUUUUGAAUAGAAAUAAACUCGCAGCUUAUUUUAUAUGUGGAUUCAUGUAUACAUGUAUGUAAUGCGUACAUGCAUAUCACACAUUUUUAAAAUACAAAGGUUAAAUACAGUUACACAAAAUCUCACAUUCCUUAUUGUAAACCAAUGUUGUAUUUUUAUAUACAUACCAAUAUAAUAAUAAUGAAUACAGCGUGUCAUUCCAAUGCGAAUUGCAAAUACAUUCACAUACAUCCAACUUAAAUUAAACCGACAACAGAAAACUAGGACGGUGAGAGGAAACUUUCAAACCUGUGAUUGCUAUUUUGGCCGACCACUUGCUUGUACCAUCCAGGACGCUUUGCUUCACAGCCUUCAUAUGACCGGCAUGACUCUUCUCCUCAACGCUGAACACGGCUCUAGUGAAUGAAUCCCAUUUUAAAGUUAACUUUCUUUUGUGUGUAAUAGUUCUGGCCGCUUACCAAACUAGCUUACUUAUUUUAGUAUUUAAGAGUUGGAGUUUGCAUAACAUCAAGUAUUAUUUUGUUUAGAUUAACUUAUUACCCCCACUUAAGGUUUUGAAAUUAAAAUAAUUAAAGGCUUUAUCACUGUAAUUAUACGCACUAGUCAACUUUUACUAUUGAAUGUAAUAUUACCUAAUCAACUCAAAAAUUUCAGGCUUCUCUCGUUCACGUUGCUUCAUACGAUCUUUCAUCGCUGUAAUAAUCGAGUUAGCCUUGUCUUCCGCACCGUGCUUUGAGCUUUUUUCGGCAGCACCUUUGAUUGUAGGAUACAAUUUAUUGCUUUUUAAAUGUACAUGUGUGGUGAAUAUACUUACGCUGCAGGCAGUCCGCAUUCAGAAGGUCCUUACAUUUUUCAUGACACUUUACACCGCACUCAGUGCAACGGACCCCUUGUCGUGCUAUCCCCCACAAAAGACCCUCACACUCGUAGCAGUACGUUGGUGACGUAGCAGUCCAUAACAAAAAAUUGUGGGGCGUUGUUGAGGAUAUAGGAUAUAUCAGGGCUUGUAGAGCUUUUUUGUACACGUGCAUUUUCUAUGGAUUGGAAACAGAUAACGAUAGAUUACAAAAAAAA
This is a non-coding RNA of Drosophila melanogaster (fruit fly), 1932 nucleotides long. NCBI's taxonomy places the organism in Eukaryota, Metazoa, Arthropoda, Insecta, Diptera, Drosophilidae. The record is from Ensembl.